GACGGAGGAUGCAAGCGUUAUCCGGAACGAUUGGGCGUAAAGCGUCCGCAGGUGGCAGUUCAAGUCUGCUGUCAAAGACCGGGGCUUAACUUCGGAAAGGCAGUGGAAACUGAACAGCUAGAGUAUGGUAGGGGCAGAGGGAAUUCCUGGUGUAGCGGUGAAAUGCGUAGAGAUCAGGAAGAACAUCGGUGGCGAAGGCGGCUUCUGGUCUGUAACUGACGCUGAGGCGCGAAAGCGUGGGGAGCAAACAGG
Molecule: ribosomal RNA, 252 nt
Filed under: uncultured bacterium
Lineage: Bacteria
Description: partial 16S ribosomal RNA
Rfam family: Bacterial small subunit ribosomal RNA
Source: RNAcentral